AGAAGCGAAACAGUGAUGUGGAGCAAAACUUAAGAAAAGUAGUCUCAGUUCGGAUUGAAGGCUGAAAUUCGCCUGCACGAAGUCGGAAUUGCUAGUAAUCGUAGGUCAGCAUACUACGGUGAAUACGUUCCCGGGCCUUGUACACACCGCCCGUCAAACCAUGAGAGUUGGCAACACCCGAAGUCGGUAGUCUAACCGCAAGGAGGACGCCGCCGAAGGUGGGGUUGAUGAUUAGGGUUAAGUCGUAACAAGGUAAC
RNAcentral lists this ribosomal RNA (257 nucleotides) under uncultured bacterium. RNAcentral describes it as "partial 16S ribosomal RNA". It matches the Rfam family "Bacterial small subunit ribosomal RNA", at positions 1245 to 1500 of the family's 1533-position model. The record is from RNAcentral.